This 488-nucleotide unclassified non-coding RNA is filed under the name Hevea brasiliensis (rubber tree). Lineage: Eukaryota; Viridiplantae; Streptophyta; Magnoliopsida; Malpighiales; Euphorbiaceae. The record is from RNAcentral.
ACCAUGGAAAAUGUUUGUUGAAUCAUGUAAGCGAUUAAGGCUGAUGAAAAGCUCAGAGGCAAAUGGAUUAGCUCCAAGGACACCAUCAAAAUGCUCAAGCACAAGUGGCUAAAGGCUUGGAAUGAAGGAAACAAGUGGUGUACAGUAGAGAGGCUUUUGUCUUCAGUUUCUUUUAUAUAACACAGAGUUGUUUUAGGUUGGAGAGUUUUGAUUUAGAAAAAGAGAAAUAAGAGAGGCCUUCCUAUAAUUUCCUCUACGUUGUAGUAUGGCUCUAGUGCAAUUUAAUGUUGUGGGCUUUUCUCUCCAUUUUCGGCCUUUUUUACCCCACUUGCUGAUAACCUUUUGUUUUGGGAUCUUCUGCCCUUUGGAUAUAUAUAUAUAUAUGUUCUCUCGGUUGACAUGAUAUUCUGUUAGCCAAGAUUGUAUUGGGAAUUGGGGAUCUUUUCAUGCACAUAAUAGGCCGGGGUAUGAAACGGUUUCAAUUCGAG